This 470-nucleotide ribosomal RNA is filed under the name uncultured bacterium. RNAcentral describes it as "bacterial SSU rRNA". It matches the Rfam family "Bacterial small subunit ribosomal RNA", at positions 40 to 518 of the family's 1533-position model. The record is from RNAcentral.
CGGCGUGCUUAACACAUGCAAGUCGAACGGAUUUAGGCGGGAGCUUGCUCUUGCCUAAGUGAGUGGCGGACGGGUGAGUAACGCGUGAACAAUCUGUCUCAUACAGGGGAAUAACGCAUCGAAAGAUGUGCUAAUACCGCGUAGGACCACGAAGGGGCAUCCUUUUGAGGUGAAAGUCGCAAGACGGUAUGAGGUGAGUUCGCGUCUGAUUAGAUAGUUGGUGAGGUAACGGCCCACCAAGUCAACGAUCAGUAGCCGACCUGAGAGGGUGAUCGGCCACAUUGGGACUGAGACACGGCCCAGACUCCUACGGGAGGCAGCAGUGGGGAAUAUUGGGCAAUGGGCGAAAGCCCUGACCCAGCAACGCCGCGUGAAGGAAGAAGGUUUUCGGAUCGUAAACUUCUGUCCUUGGUGAAGAUAAUGACGGUAGCCAAGGAGGAAGCCCCGGCUAACUACGUGCCAGCAGCAGC